GCAAGUCGAACGAGAAAGGGAUUGCUUGCAAUCCCGAGUAGAGUGGCGCACGGGUGAGUAACACGUAGAUAAUCUACCUUCAAGCCUGGAAUAACUGUUCGAAAGGGCAGCUAAUACCGGAUAAAGUGUAUCUACAUAAGUAGAUAUAUGAAAGACAGCCUCUGCAUAUGCUGUUGUUUGGGGAUGAGUCUGCGGACCAUUAGUUUGUUGGUGGGGUAAAGGCCUACCAAGACUGCGAUGGUUAGCUGGUCUGAGAGGAUGAUC
This 264-nucleotide ribosomal RNA is filed under the name uncultured bacterium. Its description in RNAcentral is "partial 16S ribosomal RNA". It matches the Rfam family "Bacterial small subunit ribosomal RNA", at positions 57 to 305 of the family's 1533-position model. The record is from RNAcentral.